GACGAGAUGCGCCCAUCCAGCAAGCGAGCCCCUCCCCC
RNAcentral lists this non-coding RNA (38 nucleotides) under Geobacter sulfurreducens PCA. The record is from RNAcentral. Lineage: Bacteria; Pseudomonadati; Thermodesulfobacteriota; Desulfuromonadia; Geobacterales; Geobacteraceae.